UGGUCCUUACUCAGCGCCGCAAAAGACUGCUGUUACUGAAAAAGAAAGUUCUUCUUAUUCAAAAAAGCCUGGAAGAAGAACGCUGGCGCAGAUGGUGGGUCCGACCCUCGUGGAGAACGCGACACGCCGAGAGCGAGUUUUUCACCACGAUGGAAAAAAUGCGGGAUGGCGACAUCGACUACUUCAAAAAAUACUACCGCAUGGUUCCCCAGCAGUUUGAUUUCCUGUUAAGUCUUGUUGGAAGGGACCUGCAAAGGCUUUAUUGCAUUAAGGAGCCCAUUUCAUCAGCGGAACGACUGGCCAUGACGCUCAUGUAUUUGUCUUCUGGAGACCUGAUUCAAG
This 342-nucleotide long non-coding RNA is filed under the name Dermacentor andersoni. RNAcentral's name for it is "uncharacterized LOC126544187". Lineage: Eukaryota; Metazoa; Arthropoda; Arachnida; Ixodida; Ixodidae. The record is from RNAcentral.